Molecule: ribosomal RNA, 253 nt
Filed under: uncultured bacterium
Lineage: Bacteria
Description: partial 16S ribosomal RNA
Rfam family: Bacterial small subunit ribosomal RNA
Source: RNAcentral
UACGUAGGGUGCAAGCGUUAAUCGGAAUUACUGGGCGUAAAGCGUGCGCAGGCGGUUUUGUAAGUCUGUCGGGAAAUCCCCGGGCUCAACCUGGGAAUGGCGAUGGAGACUGCAAGGCUGGAAUCUGGCAGAGGGGGGUAGAAUUCCACGUGUAGCAGUGAAAUGCGUAGAUAUGUGGAGGAACACCGAUGGCGAAGGCAGCCCCCUGGGUCAAGACUGACGCUCAUGCACGAAAGCGUGGGGAGCAAACAGG